This 379-nucleotide ribosomal RNA is filed under the name uncultured bacterium. Its description in RNAcentral is "bacterial SSU rRNA". It matches the Rfam family "Bacterial small subunit ribosomal RNA", at positions 790 to 1167 of the family's 1533-position model. The record is from RNAcentral.
GUAGUCCAUGCCGUAAACGUUGGGCGCUAGAUGUGGGGACCAUUCCACGGUUUCUGUGUCGUAGCUAACGCAUUAAGCGCCCCGCCUGGGGAGUACGGCCGCAAGGCUAAAACUCAAAGGAAUUGACGGGGGCCCGCACAAGCGGCGGAGCAUGCGGAUUAAUUCGAUGCAACGCGAAGAACCUUACCAAGGCUUGACAUAUACCGGAAACUUCCAGAGAUGGUUGCCCUGCUUGCAGUCGGUAUACAGGUGGUGCAUGGUUGUCGUCAGCUCGUGUCGUGAGAUGUUCGGUUAAGUCCGGCAACGAGCGCAACCCUCGUCCUAUGUUGCCAGCACGUUAUGGUGGGAACUCAUGGGAUACUGCCGUGGUCAACACGGA